AAUUCUCAUACACAUAGGAAAAUAAGUCUAAUAUCUUCUCACAUAAAUUUUACUCCAAUCCAACUAGUACAUUGCAAAAAAUCUUAAAAACCCUCACUAGACCUAAAAUUCUACUUUCUGAGACCUUGACCCAUUUAAACCUUAAUAACCUUCAAUUCAAUUGUUAGAUUGAGUUAAUAUUUAGAACACAUAUUAAGCACAAUUAUGACCAUUAAUCUAAAAAAUUUCACUUAUAUAACUAUUACAAAACUCUUGAAAUCUUUAGAAAUGACAAUCCUAUUUUAUUUCACAAAAUCCAAGUCAUUUGAAAACA
RNAcentral lists this long non-coding RNA (313 nucleotides) under Physcomitrium patens. RNAcentral describes it as "long non-coding RNA (PPAT_LNC002391)". The record is from RNAcentral. Lineage: Eukaryota; Viridiplantae; Streptophyta; Bryopsida; Funariales; Funariaceae.